Molecule: long non-coding RNA, 1380 nt
Organism: Magnolia sinica
Lineage: Eukaryota; Viridiplantae; Streptophyta; Magnoliopsida; Magnoliales; Magnoliaceae
Exons: 2
Source: RefSeq, a predicted model, not a curated record
UUUAAAGGCUGUUCUGGACAGCGGGCUUAGGAAUUCCAAAUUAGUCAUUUGUGACUGUUGAUAGCCGUGGGCACAUCCUUAGCCACUAAUAGAUAGGAAUAUGUUGAUUUCCGAACAUCGAUUGAUCUAAUCCUUUCAGCAGCAGCAUUUUCCUUAUAUAACACACUAUUAGAUGUAUCUCUGGCUUAAUUCGCAUUUGGACCUGAUUUCAUUUAUGCAAAACAACAGUUGCUGCAGGUCUUGAUAUAACUCGUGGUCCAAGAUAGAAUAUUUUUGGGAUUCCCUUCAACCUCAACAGUAAGGUGGGCUAAGGAAUUGAGAUUUUCUUUAGGAAGGCUAAGCUUUGUCUUGAUCACUUAUAAUUCCACAUGGUUGGAGUCCCACGCUUCACAUGGACCUGAAAAGAUGAAUUUGAUUCUGCCUUGAUUGUCCCUGACAAUGUUGUCAAUACUGGAUCAUCCUGGAUUUCCAUGAGAGUGUCUAUCGACAUUAAGCUUCCAUAUCUUGGUGGAGGGGGUGUCUUUCAUCUUGGGCAAGGGGUGUCGCUUUUGGUUUUGGGAGGAUUCCUGGUGUGGUGAAUGGUGUUAGGCCUCUAAUGGUAGAGUUUUCCGGGUUAGCUAGUCUAUAUUUGUAGGAAAAACAUCCUACUCAAUGUGUAGGGGCAAGUGGUUAGGACUCCACCGUGCAGAAGGAUCUUUGGGAAGAGGAAGUGGAGGAUUUGUUCCGGCUGCUUGGCAUUCUUAAAGACCAUCACCCUAUUAUAGGGAGGCCACAAAAAUGGCUUGGUGCAGUCACAAAUCCGGUCAGUUCUCGGUUCGUUCCUUCUACAAUGAUUUGGAACAUACAGUUGGGGUAGAAGACCAACCCUUAUUGUUCUUGGAGAUACGGUGCGCCUCCUAGAGUUGUGGCUUUCCUUUGGUUGGUUAGAAGGAAUCUAUGGUCAUUCCAAAUGCUUUCUUGAUGUGUAUGAGAGAUGUGGAGUCAAUGGACCACUUAUUCAUUCGUUGUCUCUUUGCCCGAUCAGUCUGGGCCUCAGUCAUGUCCCUUUUUGGCCGAGUGUGGGUGAUGCCUAACUCAAUAGAAGACUUCCUCUUAGCUUGAAAUGUUGGAGGGAUUGGGACGGUGGGUAAAGCGCUUUGGCAGUUAACCAUAAUGGUGAGCCUUUUGAUACUUUGGGGAGAGUAGAACAAUCGUUGCUUUCACAACUAGUGUGCUAUAGUGAAGUGUGGUUUGUAGGGUCAAAUGGCUUAUUUUUUAGUGGGCUUCUAAGUUGGAAGCCCUAAAGGAUUGUAAUUUUGUCUUUCCUUCUUUGUAUUCUUUCCCUACCUAAGUCUUUGCUUUGGCAGGUGUUUUAAUAAAUUUUGUGAUCUUUCAAAAUAA